This 500-nucleotide ribosomal RNA is filed under the name uncultured bacterium. Its description in RNAcentral is "bacterial SSU rRNA". It matches the Rfam family "Bacterial small subunit ribosomal RNA", at positions 28 to 523 of the family's 1533-position model. The record is from RNAcentral.
GAUGAACGCUAGCGGCAGGCCUAAUACAUGCAAGACGAACGGUAAGUUGAGUAGCAAUACUUAGCCAAGAGUGUCGUACGGGUGCGUAACACGUAUGCAACCUACCCUAUACAGGAGGAUAGCCUAGGGAAACCUGGAUUAACCCUUCAUAGUAUUAUUGGAUGGCAUCAUCUGAUAAUUAAAACUGAGGUGGUAUAGGAUGGGCAUGCGUCUGAUUAGUUAGUUGGCGGGGUAAUGGCCCACCAAGACGAUGAUCAGUAGGGGUUCUGAGAGGAAGAUCCCCCACACUGGCACUGAGAUACGGGCCAGACUCCUACGGGAGGCAGCAGUAGGGAAUAUUGGUCAAUGGAUGCAAGUCUGAACCAGCCAUGCCGCGUGCAGGAAGAAGGCCUUCUGGGGUUGUAAACUGCUUUUGCCAGGGGAUAAAAUUUCCAUGCGUGGAAAACUGAAGGUACCUGGUGAAUAAGCCACGGCUAACUACGUGCCAGCAGCCGCGGUAA